This is a long non-coding RNA of Eriocheir sinensis (Chinese mitten crab), 1814 nucleotides long. RefSeq lists it as uncharacterized. The record is from RefSeq and is a predicted model, not a curated record. The transcript is spliced from 4 exons. Lineage: Eukaryota; Metazoa; Arthropoda; Malacostraca; Decapoda; Varunidae.
CAGCACUUUACAGUAUAAAUCAACAAAGAAUGACCUCACUUAGUUGUAUAGAAAGUCUCAUUAGUAAGGAAGCAUAUAUGAAUUUUCUGAGUCAAGACCUAUAGUAACUGUUUGUGGUUUUGAUAGGUUAUGUUAGGUUAAGUUUAGGGUAUCUUCAAACACAUGAUAGCCAGCACUUUACAGUAUAAAUCAACAAAGAAUGACCUCACUUAGUUGUAUAGAGAGUCUUGUUAGUAAGGAAGCAUAUAUGAAUUUUUUGAGUCAAUCCAUAUAUAGUAACUUUUGGGUUUUGAUAGGUUAUGUUAGGUUAAGUUUAGGGUAUCUUCAAACACAUGAUAGCCAGCACUUUACAGUAUAAAUCAAUAAAGAAUGACCUCACUUAGUUGUAUUGAAAGUCUCAUUAGUAAGGAAGCAUAUAUGAAUUUUCUAAGUCAAUCCCUUAAGUAACUGUUUGGGGGUUUUGAUAGGUUAUGUUAGGUUAAGUUUAGGGUAUCUUCAAACACAUGAUAGCCAGCACUUUACAGUAUGAAUCAACAAAGAAUGACCUCACUUAGUUGUAUUGAAAGUCUCAUUAGUAAGGAAGCAUAUAUGAAUUUUCUGAGUCAAUCCAUAUAGUAACUGUUUCGGGUUUUGAUAGGUUAUGUUAGGUUAAGUUUAGGGUAUCUUCAAACACAUGAUAGCCAGCACUUUACAGUAUAAAUCAACAAAGAAUGACCUCACUUAGUUGUAUUGAAAGUCUCAUUAGUAAGGAAGCAUAUAUGAAUUUUCUGAGUCAAUCCAUAUAGUAACUGUUUGGGGUUUUGAUAGGUUAUGUUAGGUUAAGUUUAGGGUAUCUUCAAACACAUGAUAGCCAGCACUUUACAGUAUGAAUCAACAAAGAAUGACCUCACUUAGUUGUAUAGAAAGUCUCAUUAGUAAGGAAGCAUAUAUGAAUUUUCUGAGUCAAGACCUAUAGUAACUGUUAGUGGUUUUUGUCAGGUUUUGUUGAGUUUAGGGUAUCUUCAACCUCCCUUCCUUGCCCAUUCCCUUGAGGUCAUUUCCAGCAAUAUUUAUUAAGCAAGAGAGCUUGUAACAUGGCCAUAGCUUGCUUGUGCUUCUAAAUUGUAUGCCUUUCAUUUUUCCUUCCUUUUUUUCUGUUUAAUCUCUCUCCCUUCCUCCUCUUCCUUAUCUCUCUUCCUCAUCCUCCUCCUCUCCCUUCCUUCCUCCUACUCCUCCUCCUGAGAGAGCCUGGGUUCGAUUCCUGGGCAGAGCGGAAAAAUUUGGGCGGCUUUUCCGAUACCCUACGCCCCUUGCCACCCAGCAGUGAAUGGGUACCAGGUAUUAAUCGGGGGUUGUGUCCCGUCUCCUGGGGUCUGUUCCAUUCUCCUAUAAUUCCUUCCCCUUCUGUCUCUCUCCGGCAUAUGACCACAGAUAUUGUGUCCCGUCUCCUGGGGUCUGUUCCCUUCUCCUAUAAUUCCUUCCCCUUCUGUCUCUCUCCGGCAUAUGACCACAGAUGUUGUGUCCCGUCUCCUGGGGUCUGUUCCCUUCUCCUAUAAUUCCUUCCCCUUCUGUCUCUCUCCGGCAUAUGACCACAGAUGUUGUGUCCCGUCUCCUGGGGUCUGUUCCAUUCUCCUAUAAUUCCUUCCCCUUCUGUCUCUCUCCGGCAUAUGACCACAGAUGUUGUGCCCCGUCUCCUGGGGUCUGUUCCCUUCUCCUAUAAUUCCUUCCCCUUCUGUCUCUCUCCGGCAUAUGACCACAGAUGUUGUGUCCCGUCUCCUGGGGUCUGUUCCCUUCUCCUAUAAUUCCUUCCCCUUCCGUCUCUCUCCGGCAUAUGA